CCUAACACAUGCAAGUCGAACGGUAACAGGAAGAAGCUUGCUUCUUUGCUGACGAGUGGCGGACGGGUGAGUAAUGUCUGGGAAACUGCCUGAUGGAGGGGGAUAACUACUGGAAACGGUAGCUAAUACCGCAUAACGUCGCAAAACCAAAGAGGGGGACCUUCGGGCCUCUUGCCAUCGGAUGUGCCCAGAUGGGAUUAGCUAGUAGGUGGGGUAACGGCUCACCUAGGCGACGAUCCCUAGCUGGUCUGAGAGGAUGACCAGCCACACUGGAACUGAGACACGGUCCAGACUCCUACGGGAGGCAGCAGCGGGGAAUAUUGCACAAUGGGCGCAAGCCUGAUGCAGCCAUGCCGCGUGUAUGAAGAAGGCCUUCGGGUUGU
Molecule: ribosomal RNA, 383 nt
Filed under: uncultured bacterium
Lineage: Bacteria
Description: bacterial SSU rRNA
Rfam family: Bacterial small subunit ribosomal RNA
Source: RNAcentral